AUUGAACGCUGGCGGCAGGCCUAACACAUGCAAGUCGAGCGAGCGGCGGACGGGUGAGUAAUGUAUGGGGAUCUGCCUGAUCGAGGGGGAUAACUACUGGAAACGGUGGCUAAUACCGCAUACCAUCGGAUGAACCCAUAUGGGCUUAGCUAGUAGGUGGGGUAAAGGCUCACCUGGGCGACGAUCUCUAGCUGGUCUGAGAGGAUGAUCAGCCAAACUGAAACUGAGACACGGCCCAGAAUCCUACGGGAAGCAGCAGAGGGGAAUAUGGCACAAGGGGCACAAGCCUGAUGCAGCCAUGCCGCGUGUAUGAGAAAGGCAUUAAGGUUAUAAAGUACUUUAAGCGGGGAGGCGUUACCCGCAGAAGAAGCACCGGCGAACUCCGUGCCAGCAGCCGCGGUAAUAC
RNAcentral lists this ribosomal RNA (406 nucleotides) under uncultured bacterium. RNAcentral's name for it is "partial 16S ribosomal RNA". It matches the Rfam family "Bacterial small subunit ribosomal RNA", at positions 30 to 526 of the family's 1533-position model. The record is from RNAcentral.